GCUUAACACAUGCAAGUCGAGCGGGCCCUUCGGGGUCAGCGGCAGACGGGUGAGUAACACGUGGGAACGUACCCUUUGGUUCGGAAUAACGCUGGGAAACUAGCGCUAAUACCGGAUACGCCCUUUUGGGGAAAGGCUUGCUGCCGAAGGAUCGGCCCGCGUCUGAUUAGCUAGUUGGUGGGGUAAUGGCCUACCAAGGCGACGAUCAGUAGCUGGUCUGAGAGGAUGAUCAGCCACACUGGGACUGAGACACGGCCCAGACUCCUACGGGAGGCAGCAGUGGGGAAUAUUGGACAAUGGGCGCAAGCCUGAUCCAGCCAUGCCGCGUGAGUGAUGAAGGCCUUAGGGUUGUAAAGCUCUUUUGUCCGGGACAAUAAUGACGGUACCGGAAGAAUAAGCCCCGGCUAACUUCGUGCCAGCAGCCGCGGUAAU
This 432-nucleotide ribosomal RNA is filed under the name uncultured bacterium. RNAcentral's name for it is "bacterial SSU rRNA". It matches the Rfam family "Bacterial small subunit ribosomal RNA", at positions 46 to 524 of the family's 1533-position model. The record is from RNAcentral.